This 52-nucleotide ribosomal RNA is filed under the name Anelosimus eximius. Its description in RNAcentral is "partial 28S ribosomal RNA". Lineage: Eukaryota; Metazoa; Arthropoda; Arachnida; Araneae; Theridiidae. The record is from RNAcentral.
CACCUCAGAUCAGACGAGAUGACCCGCUGAAUUUAAGCAUAUCAAUAAGCGG